This 253-nucleotide ribosomal RNA is filed under the name uncultured bacterium. RNAcentral describes it as "partial 16S ribosomal RNA". It matches the Rfam family "Bacterial small subunit ribosomal RNA", at positions 524 to 776 of the family's 1533-position model. The record is from RNAcentral.
UACAGAGGGUGCAAGCGUUAAUCGGAAUUACUGGGCGUAAAGCGUGUGUAGGUGGUUAGAUAAGUUAGAUGUGAAAUCCCCGGGCUUAACCUGGGCACUGCGUUUAAGACUGUUUAACUAGAGUACUGUAGAGGAUAGUGGAAUUUCCAGUGUAGCGGUGAAAUGCGUAGAUAUUGGAAGGGACACCAGUGGCGAAGGCGACUAUCUGGACAGAUACUGACACUGAGACACGAAAGCGUGGGGAGCAAACAGG